Molecule: ribosomal RNA, 207 nt
Filed under: uncultured bacterium
Lineage: Bacteria
Description: partial 16S ribosomal RNA
Rfam family: Bacterial small subunit ribosomal RNA
Source: RNAcentral
CGUGUAGGCGGUGACAUAAGUCUGGUGUGAAAGACCUCGGCUCAACCGAGGGAGCGCGCUGGAAACUGUGUUACUAGAGUGAUGGAGGGGGAACUGGAAUUCCAGGUGUAGGGGUGAAAUCUGUAGAGAUCUGGAAGAACACCGGAGGCGAAGGCGAGUUCCUGGCCAUCUACUGACGCUGAGGCGCGAAAGCGUGGGGAGCGAACA